UACCCUCCCUUUGAACACAGUUCAGUAGAGAGGUUUUUUUUUUAAUGAGUUGAACCAAAAAAAUAAAAUAAAAAACACGCAUUCACUCUCUUUCUCUCCCUCUCUAUCGAUCAGUUGCAGCCUCUACAGCAAUGGAUAGCAGUAGUACGCCUUGUAAGCUGUUACUAUGUGGAAAAUCAUCUGCAGAGAAUGAAAUUGCUAAAUCAUUGAUGAACAAUAACACUCUUAAACUGCCGGAUAAUGUGGAAAUCUCUACUCUUUUGCACUCGGAGAUUCUUGAUGAGCCGCAGCAAAAUGAAGAAUCUUUCUCUCUUUCACGGUUUAUGAAUUCUCUUUCAACUAAUCUAUUCGGUAGAUUACUCAUUUGGUCUCCGCUAUUGCCUUCAACUCAUGAUCUUGUUUCCAACAAUUUUGGCGAGCUUCCAAUUGGUGCUGUUUGCAUUGCUGACGUUCAAUAUAAAGGGCGAGGCCGAUCGAAGAAUGUGUGGGAAUCUCCAGCAGGUUGCUUGAUGUUUUCAUUUACCAUUCAAAUGGAGGAUGGGCAAGUUGUGCCUUUGCUGCAAUACGUAGUGUCUCUUGCUGUUACAGAGGCAAUUAAGGAUCUUUGUGACGAAAAUGGCUUACCACAUAUUGACGUUAAAAUAAAAUGGCCAAAUGAUCUUUAUUUAAAUGGUGUUAAAGUUGGAGGCAUUCUCUGCACCUCAACAUACAGAUCAAAGAAGUUCAAUAUCAGUGCCGGUAUAGGCUUGAAUGUCGAUAAUGAGAAACCAACAACAUGCUUGAAUGCAGUCUUUAGAGAGUUGGCUGGUGCUGCAUGUGCAUUAAGAAGAGAAGAUAUUGUUGCAGCCUUUCUAAAUAAGUUUGAAAAACUUUAUGAUCUUUUCAUAAAUGGAGGAUUUCAAACUCUUGAGGAGCUUUACUAUAAAACAUGGCUGCAUAGCGGGCAGAGAGUUAUCAUCCAGGAGAAGAAUGAGAACCAAGUAGUGGAGAACGUGGUCACUAUUCAGGGCUUGACACCUUCUGGUUAUUUGCUAGCUAUUGGUGAAGACAAUCAAAUGUGUGAACUUCAUCCUGAUGGCAAUAGUUUCGACUUUUUCAAAGGACUGGUUAGAAGAAAAAUUGAAUAAAGAAGAUUCCCAGGCACCUUCCACCAGAGGCAAAAGUCAUGUUGGAACGGCAGCGUAGCUGAAGAUGUUUUAUGAACUGUAUCUCUUACUUUCAUCUUUGCGGAGAGCAGGCCAAGAUGUAUAGCAAUAAUCAAUCAUUUGUUAGAAACCUGGACACUUCUGUGCCAUCAGUGGAAUGAUACGAAUGAACAACUCCAUAAUUGAUUUGGUAUGUGGCUCAUCACUAGAGAAUAGAUACCUCGACUGUUAGUGCGGUCUGAGACUCAGACACUGGUACGACCUAUGAUCGAGACUUUGUCGUCAUUACAAUGGAAUUAUAUUGAGGUUUAGUCUUCUUCAAGAGGCUGCAAAUGAGCAAGUAAAGAUAAAGUCUUCUUCAAGAGGCUGCAAAUGAGCAAGUAAAGAUAAAGCUCUUUCAAAUCUGGGUAAAUAAAUUAAUAUUUUUAUAUAAUUCAAGGUCAAGAAUCUAGGUCCUAAAAACUCAAGGCUAGUUAUUUAUAAUUCCAAGAGCAGGAUUCGCCAAUCAUCUACAAAAUCCUUCGGCUCAGAAUUGAUAUCCUGUGUUCCAUAUUCCAUUGUUUAUAUUUCACUCACACUCUCUCAUGCAUAAAGAAGUGUGAAAGGGGCAUUUGUGAAGAUGUACAGGGAGGUCUUUGUGUUUCGAGUGGGAAAAAAAGAAGAAGAGGAUCGGUCAAAUGCACAAUCACAUGACCAGCAGGCAUGGUGGACCUGGUGAGUGGGAGAUAGAAUCAAAUAAAACGAGGUUAGCACGUGGAAUAAGGAAAAAAGAUGCUGCAAGUUGGAGUGGUGUAGAAAUUGCUCGAGUUCCCUUCUCAUCCGCAAGUAGAGUUCUUCAAAACAGCAGCAGCUCGGCGUUUAGUAGUGCGUUGUAGCUUUUAUUGUCUGCUAGCGUGUCGUGCCUCUGCCCUCCUUUGGUGCAAUUAAGAUUUUCUUGUCUACAGGCCAUCAACGUAAAAGUGAUCGAUCCUGCACGAGUUUUCAUUCUCUUUUGGCACCUUCGUUUUUAUCUAAAUUAUAUUAAUAGUAUUCGUGUGGUAAGAAGAAGCAAUAUAAUUGCCUCUCGUAAUUGUUUUAGUAAACUUCAGCGAUAGGCUGAGCUAUUAUAUAAUUACAAAAGCCAUAAGAGUUUAAAAAUCUGACCAAGACAAUAAAUAUUGUAAAACUCCCUCUUGAGUUUAAUCUUGCAAUUUUUCCCUCAAA
This is an RNA transcript of Populus nigra (black poplar), 2348 nucleotides long. It is a transcript of the gene named biotin--protein ligase 2-like, with no coding region annotated. The transcript has 12 exons. The record is from RefSeq and is a predicted model, not a curated record. Lineage: Eukaryota; Viridiplantae; Streptophyta; Magnoliopsida; Malpighiales; Salicaceae.